ACAUAUUUGAGUUGUCCUGCGGGAAGGACCCGACUCACUGGUUCAAAAGAUGCCGAGGUGAUAAUGGUAAUAAUAACAAGUUCAAAUGGAUAACGCUCUUUAGUUGUUCUUGUAUAAUUUGGAGCUCUGAGCUGUUUAUUAUAUAGACUGAUGGCAAAGUCUGCAUAAAAACAGAAUAAGAAAAUUAAUUUAAUUUAGGUGUAACCCUGGAGAGUUACUAAGGGUUUUAGUGUGUUAUGAGUGAUGUUAGUAUUUUGAGUUCACUGUUAAGUUUUGUUAAGUUAAAUCAUUUUGUUGAGAAUUAAUAAAAUAGAAGAUGUCUAUAUGUCCUGAUGGUCCUUGAAGUAUACGAUGUCUAUAAUGUCCUGAUGGUCCUUGAAGUAUACAGGGGGAAGUACCGCCUCCUGCCGUUCACUGCGUAGCAGCUAGGGUAUCAGGAAAGAGGGAGAGGAAGAAAAAGUCAGUUUUUCCAAGUGGAAAGCGUGGUUCCUUUAUUCAGUCGGAUUGUUCGGUGGAAAUAGAUUAUCUAGACUUUGUUGUUGACCAGAAAGGAGCUUGUUACUGCUCGGAUUCUUCUGGUUGUGCUACAACGCUUCACCAUCGCCAUUUUGAAGCUCCAGGAGAGCCCAUUUUAUUGGUUACUUUGGUCAGGUUUUUUUGUUGGGAGUACAGUUCGGUGAUGAUCCAGUCCAAAGAUGGCGAGCCACCCCUCCAGGAUCCUUACGAUGAUUGUUUUAAAAGAGAACUAAAUUCUUUGGACGAGCCGUGAACUGUACAAACUCCACUUAAGUGGUAGGACAGAUUUACACUUCAUUCCUCCUUUGCACAUCCUGCAAGGAGAACCCUCAUUGCUGGACUCACACUUAAGGGUGUCGGCUGACACAAAAGAGAGAGACUGAUUCAAAUUCCCCGGGGUGUGUGUGUUUUGUUUAUUAUUUUCCGUGACUUGGGCCCAAUUUUUCCUUUCAUGUACUGUUAUUGUUUUCAUUGUAUGUAUGUGCGAUUCUUUAAUUGUGAAUACAAUUUGAUCAAACCAAGUUCUUUGAGCGUUUCAUUAGUCAUCCACUCUGCUCCAGUAGUCGAACCUCAGCUAUUGGCCCAACACACAGGUAACCGUUUAAAUCUGUAUCCCAAGUGUUGAAAGGGGUGUUACAUAAGCAACUACUGAAUGAUGGCUGUGAACUUGAAGUGAACUCAUUUAUAAUAUUGCUUUUUGUAUAUUAUAAUAACCUGCUGACUUAUGAUGUUUAAAACUUACACUGUGAUAUACACAACAUGUUUAUAGUAUUAACAUUGUCAGCUCUCACUCCAAGAUGCUUUUUUUUGUAUUUACUGACUGACAGUCAGUGGAAGAGUCUGAGUUAACAGACUUUAGUGUUUCCCUUUUCAUUUGUUAAAAUAGCGCCACCUUGUGACAUUUCUUUAUACUAAAGCAAACACUACUCUGGAUUCAGUGGACUGGAUAGGUUCAUUGUUCUUGUUUAAACUUUGAAAAUACAAGUGUCUGUGUUUUUAUUUCUUUUUUCUUUGCACAUCUACUCCAACCUGAGACACCAACUUUUGAGUUCAGAUGGCUGGCAUGGGAUUGUUGGUGUGGGAUGC
Molecule: long non-coding RNA, 1602 nt
Organism: Oreochromis niloticus (Nile tilapia)
Lineage: Eukaryota; Metazoa; Chordata; Actinopteri; Cichliformes; Cichlidae
Exons: 4
Source: RefSeq, a predicted model, not a curated record